Mustela putorius furo (domestic ferret) is the source of this 73-nucleotide non-coding RNA. The record is from Rfam. NCBI's taxonomy places the organism in Eukaryota, Metazoa, Chordata, Mammalia, Carnivora, Mustelidae.
GCCUGGCUGGCUCAGCUGGAAGAGCAUGUGAUUCCUGAUCUCAGGGUUGUGAGUUUGAGCCCCACAUUGGGUA